Molecule: ribosomal RNA, 233 nt
Filed under: Clostridioides difficile
Lineage: Bacteria; Bacillati; Bacillota; Clostridia; Peptostreptococcales; Peptostreptococcaceae
Description: partial 23S ribosomal RNA
Rfam family: Bacterial large subunit ribosomal RNA
Source: RNAcentral
UGUACUACCGAUAACCGUUUGAGAGAAGGGAUGACACAGUAGGAUAAGCUAAGCACACUGUUGGUUAUGUGUGCCCAAGCAUUGAGGCAGUCAAAGUAGGCAAAUACGCUUUGAUAAUGCUGGGAUGGGAUGGGGAGCGAAAUUUAGUAGCGAAGUAGCUGAUUUCACACUGUCAAGAAAAGUCUCUAUCGAGGUUAAAGGUACCCGUACCGCAAACCGACACAGGUGGGUGA